Molecule: transfer RNA, 73 nt
Filed under: Camelus bactrianus (Bactrian camel)
Lineage: Eukaryota; Metazoa; Chordata; Mammalia; Artiodactyla; Camelidae
Also listed under: 2 other names
Rfam family: tRNA
About the family: Transfer RNA (tRNA) molecules are approximately 80 nucleotides in length.
Source: Rfam by way of RNAcentral
GAGGGUAUAGGUUAGUGGUAUAGUGUGUGUUUAGCAUGCAUUAAGGUCCUGGGUUCGAUCCCCAGUACCUCCA